GACGAACGCUGGCGGCGUGCUUAACACAUGCAAGUCGAACGGAAAGGCCCUGCUUGCAGGGUACUCGAGUGGCGAACGGGUGAGUAACACGUGGGUGAUCUGCCCUGCACUUCGGGAUAAGCCUGGGAAACUGGGUCUAAUACCGGAUAGGAGCCAUUUUUAGUGUGAUGGUUGGAAAGUUUUUUCGGUGUAGGAUGAGCUCGCGGCCUAUCAGCUUGUUGGUGGGGUAAUGGCCUACCAAGGCGGCGACGGGUAGCCGGACUGAGAGGGUGGACGGCCACAGUGGGACUGAGAGACGGCCCAGACUCCUACGGGAGGCAGCAGUGGGGAAUAUUGCACAAUGGGCGCAAGCCUGAUGCAGCGACGCCGCGUGGGGGAUGACGGCCUUCGGGUUGUAAACUCCUUUCGCUAGGGACGAAGCUUUUUGUGACGGUACCUAGAUAAGAAGCACCGGCUAACUACGUG
RNAcentral lists this ribosomal RNA (465 nucleotides) under uncultured bacterium. RNAcentral's name for it is "partial 16S ribosomal RNA". It matches the Rfam family "Bacterial small subunit ribosomal RNA", at positions 28 to 507 of the family's 1533-position model. The record is from RNAcentral.